CAGUCGCCACGGGAAUACGAAGGGGGCUAGCGUUGCUCGGAAUGACUGGGCGUAAAGGGCGCGUAGGCGGCGAUCAAAGUCAGGCGUGAAAUUCCUGGGCUCAACCUGGGGGCUGCGCUUGAUACUUGGUUGCUUGAGUGGGGAAGAGGGUCGUGGAAUUCCCAGUGUAGAGGUGAAAUUCGUAGAUAUUGGGAAGAACACCGGUGGCGAAGGCGGCGACCUGGUCCUUGACUGACGCUGAGGCGCGAAAGCGUGGGGAGCAAACAGGAUUAGAUACCCCUGUAGUCCCUGUCUCUUAUAC
RNAcentral lists this ribosomal RNA (301 nucleotides) under uncultured bacterium. RNAcentral's name for it is "partial 16S ribosomal RNA". It matches the Rfam family "Bacterial small subunit ribosomal RNA", at positions 509 to 807 of the family's 1533-position model. The record is from RNAcentral.